This 243-nucleotide ribosomal RNA is filed under the name uncultured bacterium. RNAcentral's name for it is "partial 16S ribosomal RNA". It matches the Rfam family "Bacterial small subunit ribosomal RNA", at positions 528 to 770 of the family's 1533-position model. The record is from RNAcentral.
UAGGGGGCAAGCGUUAUCCGGAUUUACUGGGUGUAAAGGGAGCGUAGACGGCAAUGCAAGUCUGGAGUGAAAGCCCAAGGCUCAACCAUGGGACUGCUCUGGAAACUGUGUAGCUUGAGUGCAGGAGGGGUAAGCGGAAUUCCUAGUGUAGCGGUGAAAUGCGUAGAUAUUAGGAGGAACACCGGUGGCGAAGGCGGCUUACUGGACUGCAACUGACGUUGAGGCUCGAAGGCGUGGGGAGCA